CAGAAAUAAAUACAUGUAUUACAUUGUAGCCCAAUAAAACAACAAACAAAAUAAGCACAUCCAUUGUAUCCGCAAGGUUUUGGUUCGUAUUAAACAGGUAUAACUUUCACUUUAUUCAGUGUCUGCUUCAUUUUCUUCACUGUCAUCCAGGAGAUAGCCACCAGUAAGCUCAGAGGAUGGUGUGAGUCCCUUCAGGAAUGGCUCAUAAAAUUGACGACUGUUGGGAUGAAUGUAAGUUUCUUCCGCGCAUCCGCGAAUUCUCGGUGCGCGCCAUCCUGAUGUUGGCGCGAGACACCUCGCGAGCCCUGAUUCCACACCCUGUUUGACAGGGUCCAAGUUUCUGGGGAGACAAAUUGCUCCCCGCUUGAUCUUCGGGACCUCCAGCUGAUUUUCCCCUUAAGAAGAGUUUUGCUCCCGGUCCGACGUCAUCCUGGGAAGACCCGGGUGAUAUGAGCAAUAUAUUUUCCACCAAUAGAAUGAACUAAAUUCAUUAAAAAUAUACCAGCGAGCAGUGCCUUAAGAACUUAAUCCUCAAGAACAUGUAGA
Molecule: long non-coding RNA, 546 nt
Organism: Bacillus rossius redtenbacheri
Lineage: Eukaryota; Metazoa; Arthropoda; Insecta; Phasmatodea; Bacillidae
Exons: 3
Source: RefSeq, a predicted model, not a curated record